This is an RNA transcript of Magnolia sinica, 3480 nucleotides long. RefSeq lists it as uncharacterized. Lineage: Eukaryota; Viridiplantae; Streptophyta; Magnoliopsida; Magnoliales; Magnoliaceae. The record is from RefSeq and is a predicted model, not a curated record. The transcript has 5 exons.
UCUUUAAGGUUUGAUGGGUGGCCCAUAUGGUACUAGGUGAUACCUAAGUAAAAAUUGCACCGUAUGAACUCCACAGAACGAUCCUUUGAAUCCUGUAUCCUUAAUGGUUUCAAACACCUCUCUCUCUUAUCUGGUAAUGCCUUGUUGUAAUGGUUGAAUAUUAACUAACAACAUCAUGCUACCAAUGACUGCUUUGAUCCUAACAAUGCUCGGAGCAUUGAGUUCUUGAGUCUUGACACAAUAAGGCAAGAGAUAGGUUUUAUACCAAGGAAGCUGGCAGAUCUUCAAGUCGCAAGUAUCUUAUGCUAUCUCUUGUUGAAAUCUGUUUGUCUUGUGAAAAUCCUCAGGUCCUCCUCUGUUUUAGGUUACUCUAAAUAGCCAGGCUACUUUUGCAUCAUUAGAUUUUUGGGUGAUGGCUUCAUUAACGAGGAUAAUUCCAUCCACCUACCUUGGCAAUGCCCAUCUGGUAUUUGCACAUUGACUUUAGGAUCACCUUCUCCCUUUGGGAGUCUGGGUAGUGGGUAAUGCUUCAGGAAAUUUGACAAAGAGACCAGAAAAAACUACUGAGAGUCACUAAGGAUGCCCGAUGUAAUUUUCUUGGAAAUAAUGCAAGGGAGGUUGUUUCAAUGUGUUUGGUUAAGAAUUGAUAUAACUGAAUGCGUUCUUAUAAAUCUGGAACCAAUUUUGUCAUUAAAAUAAUAAAAUAGAAUUUCCCCUUCCUGUAGUGGUUAAGAUGAUUCUAUGAAAAUGGGAUGAAGAGAAGUGGCUCAUUGGUACGAGCAUCAUAUGGACGAGUUGAUGGAGAAACUUCUUAUAAGGUCCACUUGGCAUGCGUCAUCCAGAUGUGCGGAUAGUGGUGUUUGGGUAUAGUUAUAUUAUGAUGAUUAAAGUUAUGACUCUUUGAAAAACAAUUACGGUUAUGAUGACAAUGAAUAUAUGGUGUUUGGUAGUGCAACUACCUAUCCAUAUAAGCAUGUGUGGAUAGUGCAAAGCUUUUUAAUACUGGAUACUUUCUCACGUGUCUGCAUGUGUGGGAGGAUGAGUGCAAUUUUUUGGUCAUGCUCCGCCAUUUUGUAUGGUCCUGAUGUCCUGAUUGUCUUAUAAUCAUGACACGUCCAGUUUUUAAGUGCAUGUGCAUCAACCAUCCUACUCCAACCAUUGUAUUCCCUUUCCUUGUAAAAUCGAAAUCUACAGUGACUUGCAUAGGCGGAAUGUGGUAGGUGUAUAGAGGUGCCUACUCCAGUACUGCUGAUUUGGGGGGUAAUAAUUUGUGUAUAGAAGGCCCACAGCAUACAUCAGAUGAGCAACCCCAUGUUUUGUACUGAUCCCAAAAGUAAAGACCAAUCGAAACCCAUAAGGACCAAAUCAAAGGGAACAGUGUGCAAUCGUGCCUAUCUAAAUUCACAUGGUGGGCCCACCUUAAUUUUGGAAUAUCUUGAUUUUUUGAGUGUCCUUCGAUCUUAGUAGUACACAUCAAAUGAAUGAAUUAGAUGGCAAAUGCAUGCCACAGUGGGCCUCGCACAAGUAAUGGUAGGCAUGACCACCCCAACUCUUCUCUGUGGUCCAGUCCACUUGAGUUUUGGAUGAGCCUGGUUUUUUGGGCUGCAUGGUUAACAUGAUUCUGCACACCUGAUAAACAGUGUGGAUCUCAUGUACAUUACCUCCCUUCACAUGGCUAUGCAAGGCAUGCUAAAUGGACUUAUCAAAAUAGCUGGAUUGGCUUUUUUCUUUGAAUCCAGCAGUCAGCAUGGUGCAGCUAUUAACACCGGAGAAAAUAGGCGUGAAGUAGUGCUAUUUUGCUAACUACGCUAAGAGAAUAGUGUAUUAAGGCACCAAAACAAAAUUAUAUAUGCAGAUGGCCCUAUGUUUGUGCUAACAGCACUAUAAUGCACACUAAACGGGCCCAUAAAGUAUAACUAGAAAGUUCUCAGUAUGUUAUAUGAUUUGCCUUUUUCAAAUGUCGAUGUUUAUCUUCUUUUGAUUCUUUUUUAUCUUUAUCAAUAUUCUAACAGUCAUGGGGUACUUCAAUCCUUAAUGACUUUGGUCCUUGGAGGAUGGUUUCUGAUAGUUUGGGUACAUUAGAGGACGGCGAUUCUUUUCUACUCGCUGGUCUGCUUAGUUUUCCGUGGAAGGAUGUUGCCGUGUGUAGAUGUCAAUUUUGGGAAGUACUUUACCUCUUUGGUCUGAUGAUGCUGACCAUAAGAAAUUACUUGCUAAUAUGUAUCACGAUGAUAUUGGAUAAUACAAUGCAUUUCCGAGCUUGCAGGGAGGAUGCCUAAUUUACUUCAUUUGCAUCUCGCACAGCGACGAAAACAAACAAAGCAUCAGAUUUUGCAGUUGGUGGCACUUGUCAAGCUGUUGCAUUUUCAUAUGGAAGCACCUGUGCUUCUGGUGGAAUGAAGAAUUCUGAUCCUGGGUUGGAAUUUACUGGUUUCCAUCCACCAUUCCCUGUGCCUGAAAGCCUAGUAAACAACCUGAUUGCUACUAAUGCCUCUUCAAGCUGGUCAUAUGAUAAUAUUCCAAGACAAGUGUGUUAUUCUAAGGCUUACUAUGUCUAAGUUUCAGAUGCUUGGAGCAGCAAUGAAGUUCUGACCUAAGGUUGCCAUUUGUGGGACCUAGUUUCCUUGUUUCAUGACCAAAAAGGACAGUGCAGGUGGGAUUAGAAUGAUAGAAUUGGAUCACUCUAUGAAGAGAUGUCAUCUGGACGAUCAGUUUAGUGCAAUUGGGAUGAACUAUUCUUUCCUUCUACAGAGCAGGUGCACCAGAUCAUUACAAGAACUGCUACAUUUGUCAGUGAACAUGGAGGACAGUCAGAAAUUGUCUUGAGGGUGAAACAGGGAGACAACCCAACAUUUGGGUUUCUGAUUCCUCACCACCAUCUUCAUGUUUACUUCAGAUUCCUUGUUGAACACCAGGAACUUUUGAAAGCGGAAACAGAUCUUAAACCUCCAGAUGAAGAGAAGGUUGAGAGUGGACAGAAUCAAGCAGGUGGUAUUGCAGGUGGGGCGUUGUCACUGCUCAGAUCCAUAUAUGGAUCUGGUGAGGAUGAGGAUGGUGCACUUCAAAUUGUGUCAGAAUCUAAAGAAACGGAGCCUGGUAAUUCUGUUGAUGCUGUCAAUAUUCUCUUCUCACAUGGAUCAAAUCAAGCAGAAUCUUCUACCUAUUUGGCUGUGGAAAAUGAGGCAGCUAUCAAGCACCUCUCUGUUGCUUCCAAUAAAAAAGCCUCAUCACCCAAAAGGAGUCCUUGUGUUACUGCAGUCUCUGUUGGUACUAAUAGCAAGAAAAGAGAAACUGAAACCUUUGGUUCAAUUCAUUUUUCUGUGGAUAAGCUGCAUACUCCUAUGUUGAGCAUGUCUGACGUUGAAGAACCUUUCAUUUUGGAGCCUCCAUCGUCCAUAAAACAAGCUGUAGACAAAAUAGCUUAAUUUAUUCUGAGAAAUGGGAGAGGGUUUGAAGCAGUCCUUGAAAUUCAUGUGGUCU